UACGAAGGUUGCGAGCGUUGUUCGGAAUCACUGGGCUUAAAGCGUGCGUAGGCGGCUCAUCAAGUACUUUGUGAAAUCCCCCGGCUCAACCGGGGAAUUGCUUGGUAUACUGUUAGAGCUUGAGGCAAGUAGGGGCGCGUGGAACUCUUGGUGGAGCGGUGGAAUGCGUAGAUAUCAAGAGGAACGCCGGUGGCGAAAGCGGCGCGCUGGGCUUGUCCUGACGCUGAGGUACGAAAGCCAGGGGA
Molecule: ribosomal RNA, 245 nt
Filed under: uncultured bacterium
Lineage: Bacteria
Description: partial 16S ribosomal RNA
Rfam family: Bacterial small subunit ribosomal RNA
Source: RNAcentral